UGCAGUCGUACGAGGUGCAUUCAUGUAGACUCUCGGGUCUAUCGAAUGAACUGCAGUGGCGGACGGGUGCGUAACGCGUAAGAACUUACCUUUCGGAGGGGGAUAACAUUGGGAAACCGCUGCUAAUACCCCAUAACGCUGAGGAGCUAAACGGUGAACAACCGCCGAGAGAGAGGCUUGCGUCUGAUUAGCUAGUUGGCGGGGGUAAUGGCCCCCCAAGGCGACGAUCAGUAGCUGGUCUGAGAGGAUGAUCAGCCACACUGGGACUGAGACACGGCCCAGACUCCUACGGGAGGCAGCAGUGAGGAAUUUUCCGCAAUGGGCGAAAGCCUGACGGAGCAAUACCGCGUGGAGGAAGAAGGCCCGUGGGUCGUAAACUCCUUUUCUCAGAGAAGAAGAUCUGACGGUAUCUGAGGAAUAAGCGCCGGCUAAGUCUGUGCCAGCAGCCGCGGUAAUACAGACGGCGCAAGCGUUAUCCGGAAUGAUUGGGCGUAAAGCGUCUGUAGGUGGUUUCCGAAGUCUACUGUCAAAUCCCNNGGCUCAACCUUGGACAGGCAGUGGNAGCACUCGGAGGCUCGAGUACGGUAGGGGUAGAGGGAAUUCCCGGUGAAGCAGUGAAAUGCACAGAGAUCGGGAAGAACACCAGUGGCGAAG
Molecule: ribosomal RNA, 654 nt
Filed under: uncultured bacterium
Lineage: Bacteria
Description: bacterial SSU rRNA
Rfam family: Bacterial small subunit ribosomal RNA
Source: RNAcentral